UUUUGAGCCAGAGAGUCUUACUGCUGUGUCACAGAUGAAUGAUUAUGGUCAGAGUCCUAACAACUUGCAAAGAUAUUAAUCUUCUGACUUGGGUGCUCUUCUUUCAGCCAUGCAAUAGGGAUAGAAUGUUUCUGGAGAGGAGCCGGAGUAGAGCGCUCUUAGAUAAAUGGGCACAUACACCAGAUGGAGUGCCUCCCAGAACUCAAAGCCAGGGAAGCACGCACAGCCCACAGGAAACUGGGCUGUCCUCUCUUCCUGCCUGAUUCUGACACCUUCUCACUCACUUUCAUUACGUUCUGGUUUUUCCAAGCUCAUGACCACAUCAAGACCAUAGUCUUAGGCAUAGCACAUGAGUUCAAUGGGCAUAGCCCAGAAUCUCAGGUGGAGUUCCAAAAUUCCUGGGAGACAUCUGACUGACCAAGCUCGGGUGAGGGGUAUCUCUACUCAAUUGACUCUAAAUAAGGGGAAUUGUCUUAAAAGUGAUGGGAAUGAAGUGAAAUCACGGGAAUCACAUGAGAACUGGGUCGAAUCAAUGAUUAUAAACGUUUUAAAGAAAUGUCAAGUGUCAUGAGCUUGGACGAAAACCUUUAGAAAUUCUAAUGAAACCAUUAUGUUGUAAGAAAGCUUAAGCCUUUUCAACUUAAGUAGUCGAUUCCAUUACAGGCAUCAGUAAACAUUAAAGCCUAAAAAUUCGGGAGUACAGGGGAUGUCCUUGGCGGCCAGAUAGAAGAGUGACCCAAAUGGCUGGCAGAUAUGUCACAGGUUUCAACCACAAGACAUACACCAAUAUUUAGAUAAAGAAGUCAAAAGACAAAGAGCUCUGAGAAACGGAAUCAAUGAAAUCUGGAAAGAAGAGUAAAACAGAUAAGGAAAAAUAGUCAAGCAAGGAUGCACAGAGAAUCAAUCUAGGAAGACCACCAGAAAGAGAAAUUCUAGAAUGAAUGAUGAGUGUGAGAAAUAACUGAAUAAGAACAUCUUAUAAACUGAACAAUGAAGACCUAUGAUGAAAUAACUGAAUAAGAACAUCUUAUAAACUGAACGAUGAAGAUCACUGUGAAAUAUCAGAACACAAGGCAUGAAGAUGCAAAAAAAUCUAGAAUGAGAAAAGAAUUUCCCCAAAUUAAUGUCAGACACCAAACUACAGGUCCAGGAAUCUCAGAGAACACCAAGCAGGGUAAAACAAACAAACAAGCAAACAAACUACAUCUCAGCAUUUCAUUUUCAAAUUGCAAAAAAACAAAGAUAAAAGAAAAAUCUUGAAAAAAGCCAGGGGUAGGAGGAGACACCUCAUCUACAGAGGAACAAAGACAAUUAUAUUUGACUUCUCAGAUAAGAGUAGAGUGAAAUUUAAAGUGUUGAGAGAGGGAGUUCCCAUCGUGGCACGUGGUUAACGAAUCCGACUAGGAACCAUGAGGUUGCGGGUUCGAUCCCUGGCGUUGCUCAGUGGGUUAAGGAUCUGGCAUUGCUGUGAGCUGUGGUGUAGGUCACAGACACGGCUCGGAUCCUGUGUUGCUGUGGCUGUGGUGUAGGCUGGCGGCUAUAGCUCCCCUAGCCUUGAAACCUUCUAGGGCGGGAGCGGCCCUAGAAAAGGCAAAAAGACUAAAUAAAUAAAUAAAUAAACAAAUAAAGUGUUGAGAGAAAAAAGCCUCAACCUAGAACUGUUUCCUGUGAAAUUCUCUUUCAAAAGUAAAGGAGAAAUACUUUCCCAGACAAAGCAUGAGGGAAUUUGUCGUCAGUAGACCUACCUGCAAGGAGUGUCAAAAUAAGCUCUUUAAAGAGCAGGAAAAUAAUAUAGGUCAGAAUUUCGGAUCUACAUAAAAGGAAUAGAAUCAAAGAAGGAACAAAAGAGCAAAUAAUUUUUUUUUCUUAUUCUUAACUGACCUGAAGAUAUUUUAUUCAAAACAACAAUAUAUUCAAUUAUGUACGCUUAUAUACAUAUAUCAUGAAUGUGUGUAUAUAUAUAUGCUUUUAUAUGCUUAUGUAUGCUUAUAUCUAUUCUAUAUAUGAAAUGAGCAACAGCAAUGAUAAAAGGGACAGAAGGGAGGAUUACUAGGAUUAUUUUAUUAUUAUAAGGUAUGCACACUAACCACAAAGUAGCAUAAUAUUAUUUGAAAAUGGACUUGGAUUCAUUAUAAAUGUAUACUGCAAACUCUAGGGCAACUACUAAGAAAAGGCAAAGAAAACUGGUAUGCUGAGAAAGGCAAGAAAAUAGAUAGAAUCAUUAAAAAAAAAUGCUCAACUGAAGUUCCUGUAGUGACGGAAUCCAGACUAGGAACCACGAAGGUUCCAUCCCUGGCCUCACUCAGUGGGUCAAGGAUCUGGCAUUGCCAUGAGUUGUGCUGUAGGUUGCAGACGUGGCUCGGAUCUGGCGUUGCUGUGGCUGUGGUGUAGGCUGGCAGCUGUGGCUCUGAUAGACCCCUAGCCUGGGAAUUUCCACAUGCCUCGAGUGCAACCCUAAAAAGACAAAAAAAAAAAAAAAAAAAAAAAAAAAAAAGUCAACUAAUCCCACUCCUGGGCAUCUACCCAGAGAAAACCAUGACUUGAAAAGACACAUGUACUCCAAUGUUCAUUGCAGCACUACACACUAUAGCCAAGACAUAGAAACAACCUAAAUGUCCGUCAACAGAGGAGUGGGUGAAGAUGUGGUACAUACACAAAAUGGAAUAUUACUCAGUCAUUAGAAGCAAAGAAGUAACGGCAUUUGCAGCAACAUGGAUGGACCUAGAAAUUAUCAUGCUAAGUGAAGUCAGUCAGUCAAUGAGACACCAACAUCAAAUGCUAUCACUUACAUGUGGAAUCUAAAAAAAGGACACAACAAUGAACUUCUUUGCAGAACAGAUACCAACUCACAGACUUUGAAAAACUUAUGGUUUCCAAAGGAGACAGGUUGCAGGGUGGGGGGAUGCACUGAGGGAUGGAAAUGCUAUAACAUUCGGUUGUAAUGAUAGUUGUACAACUAUAAAUGUAAUAAAAUCCAUUGAGUAAUUUUUAAAAAUAAAAAUUAAAAAAAGCUCAACUAAAACCAUAAAAGCCAGAAAAAUUGAAAGACACAAACAGGAACAAAGAAAGGCAACAAACAGAAAACAGUAACAAAAUGGUAGAUAUUGAUCCAACUAUGUCAAUAAUCACUUCAAAUAUCAAUGGUCUAAAUGUACCAACUGCAACACAGACUGUCAGAGUGGAUCCAAAACCAUGAUCUGACUUAUAUACCAUCUACAAGAAACCCACUUUAAAUAUAAAGACACAGAGAUUAGAAGUAAGUGAAUGGAGAAAAAUGCAAUCAAAAGAAAUCAAAAGAAAGCAGAAACAGCCACAUUAAUUUCAGACAAAGCAAUUUCAAAGUAAGAAAAGUAUCAUGGAUAAAGAAAAGCAUCACAUAAUGAUAAAGAGGUCAAUUGUCUAAGAUGUAAACAUUCUUAAUAUGUAUGUACUUAACAACAAAACAUCUCUUUUGCACGAGACAAAAAUGGAUAGAACCACAAGGAGAAAUAAUUACUUCAAUACCAUAUUUGGAGACUUCAAUACCCUUCUCUCAAAUACGGACAGUGCUAACAGGCAGAAAAUCAGUAAGGACAUAGUUAAAACUCUGGAGUUCCCAUUGUGGCUCAGUGGGUUAAGGACACGACAUUGUCUCUGUAAGGAUGUGGGUUCAAUCCCCGGAAUUUCCACUAACUGCAGCUCAGACUAGGAUUUAACUCCUGGCCCAGGAACUUCCAUAUGCCAAGGAUGGAGAAGGAGUGGGGAGGGGGGGAAGGAGAAGAAAGGAAAGGAGGGAGGAAGGAAGGGAAUUAAUAACCUAUCAUCUUCUAAAACACAAAGUUCCAGGCCCAGGUGAGUUCACCACUGAAUUCUACCAAACGUUUAAAGAAGAAAAUAUACCAACUGUCUACUACCUCCUUUAGAAGAUAGAGCAGGGGGGAUACUUAGUUUUUAACUCAGUCUACAAGGCCAGCAUUACCCUGAUACCAAAACCAGACAAAGACC
This 3984-nucleotide long non-coding RNA is filed under the name Sus scrofa (pig). Its description in RNAcentral is "lncRNA (ENSSSCG00040071907.1)". The record is from RNAcentral. Lineage: Eukaryota; Metazoa; Chordata; Mammalia; Artiodactyla; Suidae.